UACGUAGGGGGCAAGCGUUGUCCGGAAUUAUUGGGCGUAAAGGGCGUGUAGGCGGUCCGCUAAGUCUGAUGUGAAAGCCCGGGGCUCACCCCCGGAAGGGCAUUGGAAACUGGCGGACUCGAGUCCCGGAGAGGAAGGUGGAAUUCCUGGUGUAGCGGUGAAAUGCGCAGAUAUCAGGAAGAACACCCGUGGCGAAGGCGGCUCUCUGGGACGGUACUGACGCUGAGGAACGAAAGCCAGGGUAGCGAACGGG
Molecule: ribosomal RNA, 253 nt
Filed under: uncultured bacterium
Lineage: Bacteria
Description: partial 16S ribosomal RNA
Rfam family: Bacterial small subunit ribosomal RNA
Source: RNAcentral